AGAGUUUGAUCAUGGCUCAGGAUUAACGCUGGCGGCAUGCCUAAUACAUGCAAGUCGAAUGGGGAGCUUGCUUCCCAUGGCGAACGGGUGAGUAAUACGUAGGUAACCUACCUUUAGGACGAGGAUAACCUUUGGAAACGAAGGAUAAUACUGGAUAGUAUAGAUUUCCGCAUGGAGAUAUAUUUAAAGAUUUAUCACCUAGAGAGGGGCCUGCGGUGCAUUAGCUAGUUGGCGGGAUAAAGCCCACCAAGGCGAUGAUGCAUAGCCGGACUGAGAGGUUGUACGGCCACAAUGGAACUGAGAACGGUCCAUACUCCUACGGGAGGCAGCAGUAGGGAAUUUUCGGCAAUGGGCGGAAGCCUGACCGAGCAAAUGCCGCGUGAAUGAUGAAGUAUUUCGGUAUGUAAAGUUCUUUUAUCUAGGAAGAAAAAACAAAUUGACGGUACUAGAUGAAUAAGCUCCGGCUAACUACGUGCCAGCCGCAGC
Molecule: ribosomal RNA, 486 nt
Filed under: uncultured bacterium
Lineage: Bacteria
Description: bacterial SSU rRNA
Rfam family: Bacterial small subunit ribosomal RNA
Source: RNAcentral